Molecule: ribosomal RNA, 495 nt
Filed under: uncultured bacterium
Lineage: Bacteria
Description: partial 16S ribosomal RNA
Rfam family: Bacterial small subunit ribosomal RNA
Source: RNAcentral
GACGAACGCUGGCGGCGUGCCUAAUACAUGCAAGUAGAACGCUCAGGGGGGAACUUGCCCUUCUGGAUGAGUUGCGAACGGGUGAGUAAAGCGUAGGUAAACUGCCUGGUAGCGGGGGAUAACAAUUGGAAACGCUAGAUAAUACAGCAUAACAGUAGAUGUUGCAUGACAUUUACUUAAAAGGUGCGAUUGCACCACUACCAGAUGGUGCUGCGUUGUAUUAGCAGGUUGGUGGGGUAACGGCUCAACAAGGCGACGAUACAUAGCCGGCCCGAGAGGGGGAACGGCCCCACUGGGACUGGGACCACGCCCAGACCCCCAAGGGGGGGAGCAGUAAGGGAUCUUCGGCAAAUGACGGAAGUCUGAACGGAGAAAGCCGCGUGAGUGAAGAAGGGUUUCGGAUUGGAAAGCUCUGUUGUAAGAGAAGAACGAGUGUGGGAGGGGAAAGUUCACAUUGUGACGGUAUCUUACCAGAAAGCGACGGCUAACUACGUG